CUCAGGAUGAACGCUAGCGGCAGGCUUAAUACAUGCAAGUCGUGGGGCAGCAUGAGUAGCAAUACUUGAUGGCGACCGGCAAACGGGUGAGGAACACGUACACAACCUUCCUUCAAGCGGGGAAUAGCCCAGAGAAAUUUGGAUUAAUACCCCAUAAUAUAUUUGAUAAGGCAUCUUAUUAAUAUUAAAGCUUCGGCACUUGAUGAUGGGUGUGCGGCUGAUUAGAUAGUUGGCGGGUAACGGCCCACCAAGUCUACGAUCAGUAGCUGAUGUGAGAGCAUGAUCAGCCACACGGGCACUGAGACACGGGCCCGACUCCUACGGGAGGCAGCAGUAAGGAAUAUUGGACAAUGGACGAAAGUCUGAUCCAGCCAUGCCGCGUGAAGGAUUAAGGUCCUCUGGAUUGUAAACUUCUUUUAUAUGGGACGAAAAAAGGGCAUUCUUGUUCACUUGACGGUACCAUAUGAAUAAGCACCGGCUAACUCCGUG
This 489-nucleotide ribosomal RNA is filed under the name uncultured bacterium. Its description in RNAcentral is "bacterial SSU rRNA". It matches the Rfam family "Bacterial small subunit ribosomal RNA", at positions 23 to 507 of the family's 1533-position model. The record is from RNAcentral.